RNAcentral lists this ribosomal RNA (764 nucleotides) under uncultured Streptococcus sp. RNAcentral describes it as "bacterial SSU rRNA". It matches the Rfam family "Bacterial small subunit ribosomal RNA", at positions 28 to 776 of the family's 1533-position model. The record is from RNAcentral. Lineage: Bacteria; Bacillati; Bacillota; Bacilli; Lactobacillales; Streptococcaceae.
GACGAACGCUGGCGGCGUGCCUAAUACAUGCAAGUAGAACGCUGAAGGAGGAGCUUGCUUCUCUGGAUGAGUUGCGAACGGGUGAGUAACGCGUAGGUAACCUGCCUGGUAGCGGGGGAUAACUAUUGGAAACGAUAGCUAAUACCGCAUAAUAGCAGUUAUUGCAUGAUAACUGUUUGAAAGGUGCAAUUGCACCACUACCAGAUGGACCUGCGUUGUAUUAGCUAGUUGGUGGGGUAACGGCUCACCAAGGCGACGAUACAUAGCCGACCUGAGAGGGUGAUCGGCCACACUGGGACUGAGACACGGCCCAGACUCCUACGGGAGGCAGCAGUAGGGAAUCUUCGGCAAUGGACGGAAGUCUGACCGAGCAACGCCGCGUGAGUGAAGAAGGUUUUCGGAUCGUAAAGCUCUGUUGUAAGAGAAGAACGAGUGUGAGAGUGGAAAGUUCACACUGUGACGGUAUCUUACCAGAAAGGGACGGCUAACUACGUGCCAGCAGCCGCGGUAAUACGUAGGUCCCGAGCGUUGUCCGGAUUUAUUGGGCGUAAAGCGAGCGCAGGCGGUUAGAUAAGUCUGAAGUUAAAGGCUGUGGCUUAACCAUAGUACGCUUUGGAAACUGUUUAACUUGAGUGCAAGAGGGGAGAGUGGAAUUCCAUGUGUAGCGGUGAAAUGCGUAGAUAUAUGGAGGAACACCGGUGGCGAAAGCGGCUCUCUGGCUUGUAACUGACGCUGAGGCUCGAAAGCGUGGGGGAGCAAACAGG